GCCACCUGCGAUGACUAGCCAUGCGAGUCAUUGUAGUAAUACAAGGCAGACGGCUCAGUAACACGUGGCUAACCUACCCUCGAGACAGGGACAACCCCGGGAAACUGGGGCUAAUCCCAGAUAGAUGAGGACCCCUGGAAUGGGUUUUCGUCCGAAAGGCACCGCGGUUAUGCUCUGCAGUGUCGCUCAAGGAUGGGGCCGCGUCCGAUCAGGCUGUUGGUGAGGCAAUGGCUCACCAAACCUAUAACCGGUACGGGCCGUGGGAGCGGGAGCCCGGAGAUGGGAACUGAGACAAGGUCCCAGGCCCUACGGGGCGCAGCAGUUACGAAAACUUGUCAAUGCACGAAAGUGUGAACGGGCUACCCCGAGUGCCGUCCGCUGAGGAUGGCUUUUCUCUGCUGUAAGAAGGCGGAGGAAUAAGGCGAGGGCAAGUCUGGUGUCAGCCGCCGCGGUAAUACCAGCUCGCCGAGUGGUAGGGAUGAUUAUUGGGCCUGAAGCGUCCGUAGCCGGCCUUUCAAGUCUCUUGUUAAAUCCAACGAUUCAAUCGCUGGACUGCAGGAGAUACUGUUAGGCUAGGGGGCGGGAGAAGCCGACGGUAUUUUCGGGGUAGGGGUAAAAUCCUAUAAUCCCGGGAAGACCACCAGUGGCGUAGGCGGUCGGCUAGCACGCGCUCGACGGUGAGGGACGAAAGCUGGGGGAGCGAACCGGAUUAGAUACCCGGGUAGUCUCAGCUGUAAACGAUGCUGGCUAGGUGUUGAAGCGGCUACGAGCCGCUUCAGUGCCGCAGGAAAGCCAUUAAGCCAGCCGCCUGGGGAGUACGGCCGCAAGGCUGAAACUUAAAGGAAUUGGCGGGGGAGCACCACAAGGGGUGAAGCUUGCGGUUUAAUUGGAGUCAACGCCGGG
RNAcentral lists this ribosomal RNA (903 nucleotides) under uncultured archaeon. Its description in RNAcentral is "bacterial SSU rRNA". It matches the Rfam family "Archaeal small subunit ribosomal RNA", at positions 29 to 922 of the family's 1478-position model. The record is from RNAcentral.